CUCUCCUUUAGGAGCGAUACUUGGCGGAGUGGGUGGAUCUGUGGUUGCUAUCAUUGUUAUAGUUGUCAUAGUUGUCAUCUUUAAAACGAAGAGAAGGACAUCUGGAAAAAACACAAGAGGUGAAUCCGGACAACAGGGAUAUGAAGACCUCAACUUGGAGCAAAUUGAACCACCGGCAGUAUAUGAUGAAGUUGCUAAUAAUCCAAUGGG
Molecule: long non-coding RNA, 210 nt
Organism: Mizuhopecten yessoensis (Yesso scallop)
Lineage: Eukaryota; Metazoa; Mollusca; Bivalvia; Pectinida; Pectinidae
Exons: 3
Source: RefSeq, a predicted model, not a curated record